RNAcentral lists this ribosomal RNA (440 nucleotides) under uncultured bacterium. Its description in RNAcentral is "partial 16S ribosomal RNA". It matches the Rfam family "Bacterial small subunit ribosomal RNA", at positions 338 to 795 of the family's 1533-position model. The record is from RNAcentral.
CCUACGGGAGGCAGCAGUGGGGAAUAUUGCACAAUGGGGGGAACCCUGAUGCAGCGACGCCGCGUGGGUGAAGAAGCGCCUCGGCGCGUAAAGCCCUGUCAGCAGGGAAGAAAAUGACGGUACCUGAAGAAGAAGCCCCGGCUAACUACGUGCCAGCAGCCGCGGUAAUACGUAGGGGGCAAGCGUUAUCCGGAUUUACUGGGUGGAAAGGGGGCGCAGACGGGGAUGCAAGCCAGGAGUGAAAGCCCGGGGCCCAACCCCGGGACUGCUCUUGGAACUGCGUGGCUGGAGUGCAGGAGGGGCAGGCGGAAUUCCUGGUGUAGCGGUGAAAUGCGUAGAUAUCAGGAGGAACACCGGUGGCGAAGGCGGCCUGCUGGACUGCAACUGACGUUGAGGCCCGAAAGCGUGGGGAGCAAACAGGAUGAGAUACCCCAGUAGUC